CAGUAGCCACGGGAAUACGGAGGGUGCAAGCGUUAAUCGGAAUUACUGGGCGUAAAGCGUGCGUAGGCGGUUCGUUAAGUCUGUUGUGAAAGCCCCGGGCUCAACCUGGGAAUGGCAAUGGAUACUGGCGAGCUAGAGUGUGUCAGAGGAUGGUGGAAUUCCCGGUGUAGCGGUGAAAUGCGUAGAGAUCGGGAGGAACAUCAGUGGCGAAGGCGGCCAUCUGGGACAACACUGACGCUGAGGCACGAAAGCGUGGGGAGCAAACAGGAUUAGAUACCCCUGUAGUCCCUGUCUCUUAUAA
This 301-nucleotide ribosomal RNA is filed under the name uncultured bacterium. RNAcentral's name for it is "partial 16S ribosomal RNA". It matches the Rfam family "Bacterial small subunit ribosomal RNA", at positions 509 to 809 of the family's 1533-position model. The record is from RNAcentral.